AACCGUACUUGUUCCGCAUGAUGC
RNAcentral lists this non-coding RNA (24 nucleotides) under Arabidopsis thaliana (thale cress). The record is from RNAcentral. Lineage: Eukaryota; Viridiplantae; Streptophyta; Magnoliopsida; Brassicales; Brassicaceae.